UGGGGAAUAUUGCACAAUGGGCGAAAGCCUGAUGCAGCAACGCCGCGUGAGUGAUGAAGGCCUUCGGGUUGUAAAGCUCUGUCUUUUGGGACGAUAAUGACGGUACCAAAGGAGGAAGCCACGGCUAACUACGUGCCAGCAGCCGUGGUAAUACGUAGGUGGCAAGCGUUGUCCGGAAUUACUGGGCGUAAAGAAUGCGUAGGUGGAUAUGCAAGUCAGAUGUGAAAUACCCGGGCUCAACUUGGGUGCUGCAUUUGAAACUAUAUAUCUAGAGUGCAGGAGAGGAAAGCGGAAUUCCUAGUGUAGCGGUGAAAUGCGUAGAGAUUAGGAAGAACACCAGUGGCGAAGGCGGCUUUCUGGACUGUAACUGACACUGAGGCAUGAAAGCGUGGGGAGCAAACA
RNAcentral lists this ribosomal RNA (402 nucleotides) under uncultured bacterium. RNAcentral's name for it is "bacterial SSU rRNA". It matches the Rfam family "Bacterial small subunit ribosomal RNA", at positions 355 to 774 of the family's 1533-position model. The record is from RNAcentral.